Molecule: ribosomal RNA, 256 nt
Filed under: uncultured bacterium
Lineage: Bacteria
Description: partial 16S ribosomal RNA
Rfam family: Bacterial small subunit ribosomal RNA
Source: RNAcentral
UACAGAGGGGGGCAAGCGUUAUUCGGAAUUAUUGGGCGUAAAGGGCGCGUAGGCGGCCUGGCAAGUGGAAGGUGAAAUCCCUCGGCUUAACCGAGGAACUGCCCUCCAAACUGCUAGGCUUGAGUCCGGGAGAGGUGAGUGGAAUUCCCAGUGUAGCGGUGAAAUGCGUAGAUAUUGGGGAGGAACACCAGUGGCGAAGGCGGCUCACUGGACCGGAACUGACGCUCAGUGCACGAAAGCGUGGGGAGCAAACAGG